UUCCAUUAUUAUUUAGUUUAAAUUGUGCGGGCUGAAGUUUUAGAAAUGAAUUGAAGUUGCAGCGGGGCGGUUUGUAUAGAUUGGUUAUUUGGAAAAUUUAGUAGUUUUGAUGAUUUAUUGAGUUUAGGGGAAAUUAGGGUUCUGAUUUGAGAUUAUGCAUAAAGAUUUUUUGUCAUACUAAUUUGUGUGGAAUUUGAUCUUUCUGCAGUAAAUCUUGAUUGGUGGCAUUCGAAAUGUUGAGGGCCAUUACCCUCAGCUCAGCUUCCUUACUUUUGCACUGUGUAUACUAAAACAAUAGGACUCAAUAUAAAAAUUGCCAUAAUGUUACCAGCAAACUUCAGUGUUCACAGGCCAAUUAGCUUCUUAUAUGUCCUGUUGUUCUUAUACACCAGAUACAAUUCCUGCUCUCUAUAAAAUAAGGAAAUGUUUGGUUGAAUCUAUCGACGAAACUUCACUGCAAGUGAAUAUGUCUGUUGCAUACCCUCCAUUUGGCGUCUGAUUCAAAAGUCUUGUACCUCAAGAUGAAGGGCGACUACCACCGCUACCUUGCCGAAUUGAAGAUUGGUGGCGAGCGUAAGGAGGCUGUUGAGAGCACCCGCUCUGCCUACAAAGGCUCUCAGGCACUCUCCGACCUGUUAUCCUUCCACUGCAGAGAGGUGGAGGUGUUCGCUGCUCUGUGAAACCAGCCUCACGCGGUGCCCUCCAAUCUAAGAGCUGAGAGCUGAGAAGCCUCUGCCUUCGCAAAGACUCCACAGCCAGACUCACCACUUGGAACGGGCAAGCCGGUAGAUAGCACCCCAAGCCCAACCUUCAAGGUAAGCCCAUUUAUUCCACCAUCUUAAUGCUCCCACUUGGGUUACA
Long non-coding RNA from Ipomoea nil (Japanese morning glory), 861 nucleotides. RefSeq lists it as uncharacterized. NCBI's taxonomy places the organism in Eukaryota, Viridiplantae, Streptophyta, Magnoliopsida, Solanales, Convolvulaceae. The transcript is spliced from 3 exons. The record is from RefSeq and is a predicted model, not a curated record.